This 169-nucleotide ribosomal RNA is filed under the name Xenasmatella sp. RNAcentral's name for it is "partial large subunit ribosomal RNA". It matches the Rfam family "Eukaryotic large subunit ribosomal RNA", at positions 99 to 261 of the family's 3401-position model. Lineage: Eukaryota; Fungi; Basidiomycota; Agaricomycetes; Xenasmatellaceae. The record is from RNAcentral.
CGGGAAAAGCUCAAAUUUAAAAUCUGGCUGUCUUAGGCGGUCCGAGUUGUAAUCUGGAGAAGUGUUUUCUGCGCUGGACCGUAUACAAGUCUCUUGGAAUAGAGCGUCAUAGAGGGUGAGAAUCCCGUCUUUGAUACGGACUACCAGGGCUAUAUGAUACACUCUCGAA